UACGUAGGAGGCAAGCGUUGUCCGGAGUUACUGGGCGUAAAGCGCACGCAGGCGGCCGCAUUAGUCUGGGGUGACAGUUCCCGGCUUUAACCGGAAAAGGACUCUGGAAACUGUGCGACUUGAGGGCUUCAGAGGGAUGUGGAAUUCCAGGUGGAGUGGUGAAAUGCGUAGAGAUCUGGAAGAACACCAAAGGCGAAGGCAGCAUCCUGGGAAGUUCCUGACGCUCGGGUGCGAAAGCCAGGGGAGCGAACGGG
RNAcentral lists this ribosomal RNA (254 nucleotides) under uncultured bacterium. RNAcentral describes it as "partial 16S ribosomal RNA". It matches the Rfam family "Bacterial small subunit ribosomal RNA", at positions 524 to 776 of the family's 1533-position model. The record is from RNAcentral.